Non-coding RNA from Schistosoma curassoni, 45 nucleotides. The record is from Rfam. Lineage: Eukaryota; Metazoa; Platyhelminthes; Trematoda; Strigeidida; Schistosomatidae.
AUCCAGCUGACUAGUCUCAAAUAGGACGAAACGCGCGUCCUGGAU